Long non-coding RNA from Chelonia mydas (Green sea turtle), 100 nucleotides. RefSeq lists it as uncharacterized. NCBI's taxonomy places the organism in Eukaryota, Metazoa, Chordata, Testudines, Cheloniidae. The record is from RefSeq and is a predicted model, not a curated record. The transcript has 3 exons.
UCUGCUCUCCCGCUCAGCUCAGCUCGGGCCCCUGCUCUCCCCUGAGCUCGGCCCCACUCGGUCUGACCCAGGCCAUUCCAGCUCCCAUGGACGAGGGGAC